UACGUAGGGUGCAAGCGUUAAUCGGAAUUACUGGGCGUAAAGCGUGCGCAGGCGGUUAUGCAAGACAGAGGUGAAAUCCCCGGGCUCAACCUGGGAACUGCCUUUGUGACUGCAUGGCUAGAGUACGGUAGAGGGGGAUGGAAUUCCGCGUGUAGCAGUGAAAUGCGUAGAUAUGCGGAGGAACACCGAUGGCGAAGGCAAUCCCCUGGACCUGUACUGACGCUCAUGCACGAAAGCGUGGGGAGCAAACAGGAUUAGAU
This 260-nucleotide ribosomal RNA is filed under the name uncultured Burkholderiales bacterium. Its description in RNAcentral is "partial 16S ribosomal RNA". It matches the Rfam family "Bacterial small subunit ribosomal RNA", at positions 524 to 783 of the family's 1533-position model. Lineage: Bacteria; Pseudomonadati; Pseudomonadota; Betaproteobacteria; Burkholderiales. The record is from RNAcentral.